This 515-nucleotide ribosomal RNA is filed under the name uncultured bacterium. RNAcentral describes it as "bacterial SSU rRNA". It matches the Rfam family "Bacterial small subunit ribosomal RNA", at positions 29 to 518 of the family's 1533-position model. The record is from RNAcentral.
ACGAACGCUGGCGGCGUGCCUAAUACAUGCAAGUCGAACGGUCUUUCUAUGGAAGCUUGCUCCACUGAGAAGAUAGUGGCGAACGGGUGAGUAACACGUGGGUAACCUGCCCAUAAGAGGGGGAUAACAUCCGGAAACGGGUGCUAAUACCGCAUAGUUUUCUUGAUCGCAUGAUCGGGAAAGGAAAGACGGCCUUUGUGCUGUCGCUUAUGGAUGGACCCGCGGCGUAUUAGUUAGUUGGUGAGGUAACGGCUCACCAAGACGAUGAUACGUAGCCGACCUGAGAGGGUGAUCGGCCACAUUGGGACUGAGACACGGCCCAAACUCCUACGGGAGGCAGCAGUAGGGAAUCUUCCGCAAUGGACGAAAGUCUGACGGAGCAACGCCGCGUGAGUGAAGAAAGGUUUUCGGAUCGUAAAACUCUGUUGUCAGAGAAGAACAAGUUGGAGAGUAACUGCUCCAGCCUUGACGGUAUCUGACCAGAAAGCCACGGCUAACUACGUGCCAGCCGCUGC